This 931-nucleotide ribosomal RNA is filed under the name Pseudomonas lactis. Its description in RNAcentral is "bacterial SSU rRNA". It matches the Rfam family "Bacterial small subunit ribosomal RNA", at positions 56 to 984 of the family's 1533-position model. The record is from RNAcentral. Lineage: Bacteria; Pseudomonadati; Pseudomonadota; Gammaproteobacteria; Pseudomonadales; Pseudomonadaceae.
UGCAAGUCGAGCGGUAGAGAGAAGCUUGCUUCUCUUGAGAGCGGCGGACGGGUGAGUAAUGCCUAGGAAUCUGCCUGGUAGUGGGGGAUAACGUUCGGAAACGGACGCUAAUACCGCAUACGUCCUACGGGAGAAAGCAGGGGACCUUCGGGCCUUGCGCUAUCAGAUGAGCCUAGGUCGGAUUAGCUAGUUGGUGAGGUAAUGGCUCACCAAGGCGACGAUCCGUAACUGGUCUGAGAGGAUGAUCAGUCACACUGGAACUGAGACACGGUCCAGACUCCUACGGGAGGCAGCAGUGGGGAAUAUUGGACAAUGGGCGAAAGCCUGAUCCAGCCAUGCCGCGUGUGUGAAGAAGGUCUUCGGAUUGUAAAGCACUUUAAGUUGGGAGGAAGGGUUGUAGAUUAAUACUCUGCAAUUUUGACGUUACCGACAGAAUAAGCACCGGCUAACUCUGUGCCAGCAGCCGCGGUAAUACAGAGGGUGCAAGCGUUAAUCGGAAUUACUGGGCGUAAAGCGCGCGUAGGUGGUUUGUUAAGUUGGAUGUGAAAUCCCCGGGCUCAACCUGGGAACUGCAUUCAAAACUGACUGACUAGAGUAUGGUAGAGGGUGGUGGAAUUUCCUGUGUAGCGGUGAAAUGCGUAGAUAUAGGAAGGAACACCAGUGGCGAAGGCGACCACCUGGACUAAUACUGACACUGAGGUGCGAAAGCGUGGGGAGCAAACAGGAUUAGAUACCCUGGUAGUCCACGCCGUAAACGAUGUCAACUAGCCGUUGGAAGCCUUGAGCUUUUAGUGGCGCAGCUAACGCAUUAAGUUGACCGCCUGGGGAGUACGGCCGCAAGGUUAAAACUCAAAUGAAUUGACGGGGGCCCGCACAAGCGGUGGAGCAUGUGGUUUAUUCGAAGCACGCGAAGAACCUUACCAGGCCUUGA